GGAAGUUGCAGUCACAACAACACUUGUGACAUCACAGAAGAAUCUAGUGCUCUCCAGGUUAGAAGAGAGUUUUCAGGGAAUGCCUAACAAUGAUGUCACUGAAAACUGUCAUGGCCUACCUGAUGAACACCUUUCCUUACAUUGACCAGAUUCAAGUUUGCACUUUAUAGGACCUUUUCUUCUUGCGAAAAAGUGUAAAGGUCAUGAGUUCUCAGGAAAACAACUGUGCCCUUCACAACACUUGGCUUUUGGAAUAAAGAAAUAAAUGAUAUAAA
Molecule: non-coding RNA, 275 nt
Organism: Rattus norvegicus (Norway rat)
Lineage: Eukaryota; Metazoa; Chordata; Mammalia; Rodentia; Muridae
Source: RefSeq, a predicted model, not a curated record